This is a long non-coding RNA of Helianthus annuus (common sunflower), 477 nucleotides long. RefSeq lists it as uncharacterized. The record is from RefSeq and is a predicted model, not a curated record. The transcript is spliced from 3 exons. NCBI's taxonomy places the organism in Eukaryota, Viridiplantae, Streptophyta, Magnoliopsida, Asterales, Asteraceae.
CUUGAUUCAGUUCUUUCCAUCUUCUUAUCAAUCAAGAACUUGGUCUUGAUCUUAACCUCAUGCCUACCUAAACUCACCUAUAAAUACCCAACCCUUUCACCACCAUUGUUCCUCACACCACAGAAGUUACCCCUGUUCACACUAAACUUUUCCCUCUGUUUCGAACUUAUUCGCCGGAGAAGCCCACAUCCGCCGCCGACAUUAACCACCAUCGCCGGAGAAGACGACCGGUGCCCCAACGGAAAGUCUCGCCGCCGUGUUUCGGCUAAUCACUUUUGCUCGUUAUCUUGGAUUCUACCCAAUCUUACUCGUGCGUACUUACAAGAAAUCGCAACGCAAUCAAAGUUGAAUGAUGAGUUGAUGCUAUGAAGAAUUUAGGUGGACUUAGAUACACACAUAGAUUAAUUUUAGUUAUUGAAUGUUAUGUUAUUUUGAAGGAAUGUUGACUUUUAUUUUUGAUCCUUGUAUGACAAUUUA